AUGCUUAAGUUUGUUCUGGUAAGGAUGGAUCUCGGUGCAGCCCAGGCUUUGGUAUUUGCAUGGAAGCUGAAUCGAUUCGGCCACCUUCUCAAGAGCCAAGCAUCUGAUAUUUCCCAGCUCCUGGCGGCAAGUGGGGCAAUGGUUGUCUACCCUAUGCUUACAGCUGGAGCAAAUUGUGUGGCCAUUUGGGCACUGCAGGAAGAAUAUGAAUCGUCAAUAGAUUAUCAUAAAAUCAUAAUGGACAAAACUUGUUCUACUAACUACCAUAGUUCUCAUCCAAUUAGCUUGAUAUUAUUUUGA
RNAcentral lists this ribosomal RNA (300 nucleotides) under Triticum aestivum (bread wheat). RNAcentral describes it as "partial small subunit ribosomal RNA". Lineage: Eukaryota; Viridiplantae; Streptophyta; Magnoliopsida; Poales; Poaceae. The record is from RNAcentral.